UAGCUCAACUGGUAGAGCAGUGCCCUCUUAAGGCAUUGGUUCGGGGUUCGAGUCCC
This 56-nucleotide transfer RNA is filed under the name Candidatus Roizmanbacteria bacterium CG_4_9_14_3_um_filter_33_18. RNAcentral describes it as "tRNA-Lys". It matches the Rfam family "tRNA", at positions 8 to 61 of the family's 71-position model. From Rfam's summary of the family: Transfer RNA (tRNA) molecules are approximately 80 nucleotides in length. Their secondary structure includes four short double-helical elements and three loops (D, anti-codon, and T loops). Further hydrogen bonds mediate the characteristic L-shaped molecular structure. tRNAs have two regions of fundamental functional importance: the anti-codon, which is responsible for specific mRNA codon recognition, and the 3' end, to which the tRNAs corresponding amino acid is attached (by aminoacyl-tRNA synthetases). tRNAs cope with the degeneracy of the genetic code in two manners: having more than one tRNA (with a specific anti-codon) for a particular amino acid; and 'wobble' base-pairing, i.e. permitting non-standard base-pairing at the 3rd anti-codon position. Lineage: Bacteria; Candidatus Roizmaniibacteriota. The record is from RNAcentral.